RNAcentral lists this ribosomal RNA (253 nucleotides) under uncultured bacterium. Its description in RNAcentral is "partial 16S ribosomal RNA". It matches the Rfam family "Bacterial small subunit ribosomal RNA", at positions 524 to 776 of the family's 1533-position model. The record is from RNAcentral.
UACAGAGGUGGCAAGCGUUGUUCGGAACUAUUGGGCGUAAAGGACGCGUAGGCGGUGCGGUAAGUCACCUGUGAAACCUCUAGGCUCAACCUAGAGCCUGCAGGCGAAACUGCCGUGCUUGAGGGUGGGAGAGGUGCGUGGAAUUCCGGGUGUAGCGGUGGAAUGCGUAGAGAUCCGGAAGAACACCGGUGGCGAAGGCGGUUAGCUGGGCAGUUGCUGACACUGAGGCGCGACAGCGUGGGGAGCAAACAGG